GAACACAAUCCAGACGUUUCAAACGAUUAAGACAGAAGUAAAACCACAAAGGACCAGAUUCCAAGUUGGAGAUGCCAACAGUGUAGGGCUGAGCAUGCAAUGCACAGUGAUCCUCUGUGAAGGGUGCCUCUUCCUAGGUGACCGACAUCCUGCCUUGAUCUGCCCUCUUGUGACAAGUGCCUAAGGGAUCCCAUUUCCACUGCGAGUCCAACUGGGAAGCCCUUCAUGCACAUAUGGCCCAGUUGCUUCCUCCUCAACAAAGGCAUCAGAACAAUGUAACUGCAGAAACACCUGCUGGCAUCACCUGGAUUUGGGUACAAAGAUGGUCUUACGAUGACUCUAGAAUGAGAUGAGUAUACCGUAAAGAAGACAGAUCUCAUCUAGAUGAUAUCCUUUUUAUGGAAGGAAGCUAAACCUGUUAUAGAAGAAGUCAACUGGAUUUAUCUCUGUGAGGAUGAAGAUAUUUUGAUUUGUAUAUGUUGUUAGAAUUGUAAAGAGGCCCACUCUACUUUUGUGAGGUAUUUGUAAGUCCCCUUCAGUUAUUUUAGUUAGAAUCUUGCAUGUAAGGGAAAACUGUAUCAUAAUGUAAAGAAAUACUGUUUUUAACCUGAACUGUGAAAAUCCUACAGAGCGGAAACCUGAAAGGGGAAUUUUUUUACUAUAAAUUGAACAACUGUAUUUCUCUUUUUUCAAAAACGUCAUGCUUGUGAAUAAAUAAGAAUUUCAGACUGGAAAAGUGUCCUAUUACUACUUUGCUUGUUACAAACAGAACAUUGUACUACAGUAGUGUCUUCAGCAGAUAGGCCAUGUACUCCUUUUAUAGUAUGGUUUUCCCAGAAACUUCCUUCUUUCCUUGAGUUGUAUUUCCCCACUAGACCCAUUCUACAGAGUAUCAAACUACAUAAGAGCCCUGUGCUGUUAUGGAGCUUGUUAAUUACUCUGAGUAUAGGUAGCUGUGAAUGUAGAGAUCAGCUCUUAUGUAUACUGAAUGUGGAUGCUGAGUUGUGUUAGAACAAUGGAGGAAAAGCUUGAGGCAUUAAUAAAAUCUGCUGCCCUUCAGAAAAUGUGUGCAGCCUCUUUGCAUUAAAGAGAGAACUGACCAACACUUGGUCCAGAUUAACAAAAGUAGUGCAUUAACUGACCAACACAUGAUCUAUCUGUAGAAGUGUGCUGCCACAGAUCAACAGAUAAUGAACCUCUAGCAGCUGAUUUCAUCCCUGGGUAACCAGCCAGCCCCUUCUGAUGAGUUCACAAUUCCAGUUCAACCACUGCAAAGUCUGGAACAGAGGAUGACUGAGAAGUGUACCUAGUUGCUUUUGAAAAAUGUUUAGCUAGGGAGAUUAUCCCCAGACAAAAUUAGUCAGAAUUCUUUUGUCCUACCUAACUGGAACAGCACUGAAAGCUUGCAUGGAUUUGGAAGACUAUGAUGCAGAUGAUUAUACUAGUUAAAUCACAAUAUAUUUGCAAGCAUAAAGCUAGUAUGCAUAAAAUUGGAAUGAUAUCUGUACCUGGAGAUAAGAGAACACCCUGUAAAAUAUGUAGAAAUGCAGACAGUCUUGAAUAAAGUUUUACAUCCUGUAGCACUGAUGCCUAAUUUGUUUUAUGAUGUAAUCACUGGCCAGGAUUAUCUCUAGUUUAAUAAAAAUUAUGUACAUUUUAAUGAAGAAGGUUCAGCCAGAUGUAUU
This is a long non-coding RNA of Protopterus annectens (West African lungfish), 1685 nucleotides long. RefSeq lists it as uncharacterized. The transcript is spliced from 3 exons. The record is from RefSeq and is a predicted model, not a curated record. NCBI's taxonomy places the organism in Eukaryota, Metazoa, Chordata, Ceratodontiformes, Protopteridae.